AGGGCAUUCUCAGCAAUUAUU
Molecule: small nuclear RNA, 21 nt
Filed under: Arabidopsis thaliana (thale cress)
Lineage: Eukaryota; Viridiplantae; Streptophyta; Magnoliopsida; Brassicales; Brassicaceae
Description: snRNA_14163
Source: RNAcentral